Molecule: ribosomal RNA, 503 nt
Filed under: uncultured bacterium
Lineage: Bacteria
Description: partial 16S ribosomal RNA
Rfam family: Bacterial small subunit ribosomal RNA
Source: RNAcentral
AUUGAACGCUGGCGGCAGGCUUAACACAUGCAAGUCGAGCGGAGAGAGGUAGCUUGCUACUGAUCUUAGCGGCGGACGGGUGAGUAAUGCUUAGGAAUCUGCCUAUUAGUGGGGGACAACAUUUCGAAAGGAAUGCUAAUACCGCAUACGUCCUACGGGAGAAAGCAGGGGAUCACUUGUGACCUUGCGCUAAUAGAUGAGCCUAAGUCGGAUUAGCUAGUUGGUGGGGUAAAGGCCUACCAAGGCGACGAUCUGUAGCGGGUCUGAGAGGAUGAUCCGCCACACUGGGACUGAGACACGGCCCAGACUCCUACGGGAGGCAGCAGUGGGGAAUAUUGGACAAUGGGGGGAACCCUGAUCCAGCCAUGCCGCGUGUGUGAAGAAGGCCUUAUGGUUGUAAAGCACUUUAAGCGAGGAGGAGGCUCUUUUGGUUAAUACCCAAGAUGAGUGGACGUUACUCGCAGAAUAAGCACCGGCUAACUCUGUGCCAGCAGCCGCCGUAA